AAGAGUUUAGGGUCUCUGGCCCGAACCUCCAACCCUCUGUUGUUAUAACUACUUUGUUGCUUUGGCGGGACCGUUCGGUCCUCCGAGCGCGCCGGUCCCCUCACGGGGGCAGGCGAGCGCCCGCCGGAGUCCAACCAAACUCUUGUUUUAACCGGUCGUCUGAGUUAAUUUUUUAAUAAAAAUUA
Molecule: unclassified non-coding RNA, 185 nt
Filed under: uncultured Ascomycota
Lineage: Eukaryota; Fungi; Ascomycota
Description: sequence contains ITS1
Source: RNAcentral